UGGGGAAUUUUGGACAAUGGGCGAAAGCCUGAUCCAGCCAUGCCGCGUGCAGGAUGAAGGCCUUCGGGUUGUAAACUGCUUUUGUACGGAACGAAAAGACUCUGGUUAAUACCUGGGGUCCAUGACGGUACCGUAAGAAUAAGCACCGGCUAACUACGUGCCAGCAGCCGCGGUAAUACGUAGGGUGCAAGCGUUAAUCGGAAUUACUGGGCGUAAAGCGUGCGCAGGCGGUUAUAUAAGACAGAUGUGAAAUCCCCGGGCUCAACCUGGGAACUGCAUUUGUGACUGUAUAGCUAGAGUACGGCAGAGGGGGAUGGAAUUCCGCGUGUAGCAGUGAAAUGCGUAGAUAUGCGGAGGAACACCGAUGGCGAAGGCAAUCCCCUGGGCCUGUACUGACGCUCAUGCACGAAAGCGUGGGGAGCAAACAGGAUUAGAUACCCUGGUAGUCCACGCCCUAAACGAUGUCAACUGGUUGUUGGGUCUUCACUGACUCAGUAACGAAGCUAACGCGUGAAGUUGACCGCCUGGGGAGUACGGCCGCAAGGUUG
Molecule: ribosomal RNA, 548 nt
Filed under: uncultured bacterium
Lineage: Bacteria
Description: bacterial SSU rRNA
Rfam family: Bacterial small subunit ribosomal RNA
Source: RNAcentral